RNAcentral lists this ribosomal RNA (253 nucleotides) under uncultured bacterium. RNAcentral describes it as "partial 16S ribosomal RNA". It matches the Rfam family "Bacterial small subunit ribosomal RNA", at positions 524 to 776 of the family's 1533-position model. The record is from RNAcentral.
UACGGAGGGUGCAAGCGUUAUCCGGAUUCACUGGGUUUAAAGGGUGCGUAGGCGGUCGGGUAAGUCUGAUGUGAAAUCUCACAGCUUAACUGUGAAACUGCAUUGGAUACUAUUCGGCUUGAGAGUUGGAGGGGGGACUGGAAUUCUUGGUGUAGCAGUGAAAUGCGUAGAUAUCAAGAGGAACACCAGUGGCGAAGGCGAGUCCCUGGACAACUUCUGACGCUGAGGCACGAAAGCUAGGGGAGCAAACAGG